Molecule: long non-coding RNA, 1358 nt
Filed under: Mus musculus (house mouse)
Lineage: Eukaryota; Metazoa; Chordata; Mammalia; Rodentia; Muridae
Description: long non-coding RNA chr5:118763301-118764659
Source: RNAcentral
GGGCCUCUGCCUCCCCCGCCUGUCAGGAGGGUUUUAGUUGAUGGCACACCUGUGUAGACACAGGAGGUCUGGGGACAGCUGCAUUCUGUUUAUUUAUUUUUCAUUUUGUUGUAAGUUUUUUUGCGACUUUGUUUUUUCUAAUCUUGAGGACCAGGUACAGUAGCUGAAGCCCACUGAGACCCACCGUAGGAUUCUCUGAGUACAUACCUCUGUCCUAGAAGCCAAGAAAGGAGUGAGAAGAAGCGGGGAGGCCACCUAGUGGUAGACUCGGUCAGACAGUCUGUGGCUGCAGCCUGUGUAGGUUGCACCCCUAUAUGAAGAUGGUCAGGCUCAGCCCCGAGCUGGAGGCAAGGACCUUCAUCACUUCUCUAUACAGUCACAUGGAAAUACCUUUUCUAGAGAAUUCUUACAGAAAGCCAGGUCUCUCCUUUCAUUAGAUCAAAAGGGACUCGUGUACAUAUCACAACCAAAGUGUUUGCUCACGAAACCAGUUACAAACACAGUGAAUUUUUUCUGGACCAUAGGAAUAUUGUUUCAAAGAAAUAGUGCAACUCAACCGUUACAUCAGUACUUGAAGCUGAGCCUCUAUGUGGGACUUUAAAAAAAAAAAAAAAAGCCUUUUUAAAGCAUUCGCAGCUGAUUGAAGUAUUCUUGACUCCCUGUCCCAGACCUUAGGGUUGACUUUGAAACCCUGUUUCUAGCCCUUAUGUCGUAUGUUUCUGUCUGUGGGUGGUGGGUGUAGACCGGCUUCCCAGAGCCUCCUGACAGGCCCGGCACUGAGCCCGGCUCCCGUGGGAGAGUCAUGCAAACUAAGUUCUUCCAAGAGACUUUCAUGUCCUGGUUAUUAACAAAGAAAAGGAAAAAAAUGUAAUAAUUGAUAUGGUUUUGUAAAAGUAUUUUUCUUGAGAUAAUCUAACGUUUAAAACAUUAUAUUAACAUGUGGUGGGGAUGUGAAAGCAGAGAAAUAACUUGUACAUGGGUGACUGUUCUCUGUCUCACCAACUGGGGGGGUUGCUUUCCAAUGUAUAGCUUAAAAAAUCUGAUAUAUCAAACCGUUUGUAUCUAACGUGUACAGUGUAAAAUUGACUUAAAAUAUCGCAGUGCUAUUUUUUCUUAUCAGCGAGGAAAUCCUCAAGGCCUUUUGAAGAGCGUAAGAUGACGGAGAUGUAAACUUGUAUAAAGUCACCUCGGGGAGGACGGGCUGUAAACUAGAUAUUUGUAAUCUUUACCACUUGGGAUUGCUUCCUCUCAGAGUUCACCAGAACUUUGAAUUUCUCUCUCUCUCUCUCUUUUUUAAAUGGGCUGUUUUUACUGCAGGGGCUUUUCUUCCCUAGAAACCCAACUCUACGCAGAAAAAG